CCUACGGGUGGCAGCAGUGAGGAAUAUUGGUCAAUGGACGAGAGUCUGAACCAGCCAAGUAGCGUGAAGGAUUACUGCCCUAUGGGUUGUACACUUCUUUUAUAAAGGAAUAAAACGAGGCACGUGUGCCUUUUUGCAUGUACUUUAUGAAUAAGGAUCGGCUAACUCCGUGCCAGCAACCGCGGUAAUACGGAGGAUCCGAGCGUUAUCCGGAUUUAUUGGGUUUAAAGGGAUCGUAGAUGGGUUGUUAAGUCAGUUGUGAAAGUUUGCGGCUCAACCCCGUCCGGCCGUUGAAACUGGGGGCCUUGAGUGGGCGAGAAGAAGGCGGAAUGCGUGGUGUAGCGGUGAAAUGCAUAGAUAUCACGCAGAACCCCGAUUGCGAAGGCAGCCUUCCGGCGCCCUACUGACGCUGAGGCACGAAAGUGCGGGGAUCGAACAGGAUUAGAUACCCGAGUAGUC
RNAcentral lists this ribosomal RNA (459 nucleotides) under uncultured bacterium. RNAcentral's name for it is "partial 16S ribosomal RNA". It matches the Rfam family "Bacterial small subunit ribosomal RNA", at positions 338 to 795 of the family's 1533-position model. The record is from RNAcentral.